UGCAGUCGAGCGAACAGAUAAGGAGCUUGCUCCUUUGACGUUAGCGGCGGACSGGUGAGUAACACGUGGAUAACCUACCUAUAAGACUGGGAUAACUUCGGGAAACCGGAGCUAAUACCGGAUAACAUAUUGAACCGCAUGGUUCAAUAGUGAAAGGCGGCUUUGCUGUCACUUAUAGAUGGAUCCGCGCCGUAUUAGCUAGUUGGUAAGGUAACGGCUUACCAAGGCAACGAUACGUAGCCGACCUGAGAGGGUGAUCGGCCACACUGGAACUGAGACACGGUCCAGACUCCUACGGGAGGCAGCAGUAGGGAAUCUUCCGCAAUGGGCGAAAGCCUGACGGAGCAACGCCGCGUGAGUGAUGAAGGUCUUCGGAUCGUAAAACUCUGUUAUCAGGGAAGAACAAAUGUGUAAGUAACUGUGCACAUCUUGACGGUACCUGAUCAGAAAGCCACGGCUAACUACGUGCCAGCAGCCGCGGUAAUACGUAGGUGGCAAGCGUUAUCCGGAAUUAUUGGGCGUAAAGCGCGCGUAGGCGGUUUUUUAAGUCUGAUGUGAAAGCCCACGGCUCAACCGUGGAGGGUCAUUGGAAACUGGAAAACUUGAGUGCAGAAGAGGAAAGUGGAAUUCCAUGUGUAGCGGUGAAAUGCGCAGAGAUAUGGAGGAACACCAGUGGCGAAGGCGACUUUCUGGUCUGUAACUGACGCUGAUGUGCGAAAGCGUGGGGAUCAAACAGGAUUAGAUACCCUGGUAGUCCACGCCGUAAACGAUGAGUGCUAAGUGUUAGGGGGUUUCCGCCCCUUAGUGCUGCAGCUAACGCAUUAAGCACUCCGCCUGGGGAGUACGACCGCAAGGUUGAAACUCAAAGGAAUUGACGGGGACCCGCACAAGCGGUGGAG
Molecule: ribosomal RNA, 899 nt
Filed under: Staphylococcus pasteuri
Lineage: Bacteria; Bacillati; Bacillota; Bacilli; Caryophanales; Staphylococcaceae
Description: bacterial SSU rRNA
Rfam family: Bacterial small subunit ribosomal RNA
Source: RNAcentral